RNAcentral lists this transfer RNA (82 nucleotides) under Canis lupus familiaris (dog). It matches the Rfam family "tRNA". From Rfam's summary of the family: Transfer RNA (tRNA) molecules are approximately 80 nucleotides in length. Their secondary structure includes four short double-helical elements and three loops (D, anti-codon, and T loops). The record is from Rfam by way of RNAcentral. Lineage: Eukaryota; Metazoa; Chordata; Mammalia; Carnivora; Canidae. RNAcentral also lists the same sequence under 2 other names.
GCCUGGGUGGCUCAGUGGCUGAGCAUCUGCCUUUAGCUCAGGGCAUGUCCUGGGGUCCUGGGAUCAAGUCCCACUUCAGGCU